Picea glauca (white spruce) is the source of this 121-nucleotide non-coding RNA. The record is from Rfam. NCBI's taxonomy places the organism in Eukaryota, Viridiplantae, Streptophyta, Pinopsida, Pinales, Pinaceae.
ACAUGACUACAACAUGGUGUUAAUUCAUAGGAUCCCAUUAGAACUCCAUAGUUAAGCGCGCUCGAGAUAGAGUAGUACUGGUAUGGGCGAUCACCCAAGAAGUAUUAGUAUUUUACAUGCC